RNAcentral lists this ribosomal RNA (387 nucleotides) under uncultured bacterium. Its description in RNAcentral is "bacterial SSU rRNA". It matches the Rfam family "Archaeal small subunit ribosomal RNA", at positions 339 to 726 of the family's 1478-position model. The record is from RNAcentral.
GCGCGAAAACUUUACAAUGCUGGCAACAGCGAUAAGGGAACCUCGAGUGCCAGGUUACAAGUCUGGCUGUCGAGAUGCCUAAAAAGCAUUUCAUAGCAAGGGCCGGGCAAGACCGGUGCCAGCCGCCGCGGUAACACCGGCGGCUCGAGUGGUAACCGUUAUUAUUGGGUCUAAAGGGUCUGUAGCCGGCCGGAUAAGUCUCUUGAGAAAUCUGGCAGCUUAACUGUCAGGCUUUCAGGAGAUACUGUCUGGCUCGAGGCCGGGAGAGGUGAGAGGUACUUCAGGGGUAGGGGUGAAAUCUUGCAAUCCUUGAAGGACCACCAGUGGCGAAGGCGUCUCACCAGAACGGACCUGACGGCAAGGGACGAAAGCUAGGGGCACGAACCG